AACGCUAGCUACAGGCUUAACACAUGCAAGUCGAGGGGCAGCAUGGUCUUAGCUUGCUAAGGCCGAUGGCGACCGGCGCACGGGUGAGUAACACGUAUCCAACCUGCCGUCUACUCUUGGACAGCCUUCUGAAAGGAAGAUUAAUACAAGAUGGCAUCAUGAGUCCACAUGUUCACAUGAUUAAAGGUAUUCCGGUAGACGAUGGGGAUGCGUUCCAUUAGAUAGUAGGCGGGGUAACGGCCCACCUAGUCUUCGAUGGAUAGGGGUUCUGAGAGGAAGGUCCCCCACAUUGGAACUGAGACACGGUCCAAACUCCUACGGGAGGCAGCAGUGAGGAAUAUUGGUCAAUGGGCGAGAGCCUGAACCAGCCAAGUAGCGUGAAGGAUGACUGCCCUAUGGGUUGUAAACUUCUUUUAUAAAGGAAUAAAGUCGGGUAUGGAUACCCGUUUGCAUGUACUUUAUGAAUAAGGAUCGGCUAACUCCGUGCCAGCAGCCGCGGUAAUACGGAGGAUCCGAGCGUUAUCCGGAUUUAUUGGGUUUAAAGGGAGCGUAGAUGGAUGUUUAAGUCAGUUGUGAAAGUUUGCGGCUCAACCGUAAAAUUGCAGUUGAUACUGGAUAUCUUGAGUGCAGUUGAGGCAGGCGGAAUUCGUGGUGUAGCGGUGAAAUGCUUAGAUAUCACGAAGAACUCCGAUUGCGAAGGCAGCCUGCUAAGCUGCAACUGACAUUGAGGCUCGAAAGUGUGGGUAUCAAACAGGAUUAGAUACCCUGGUAGUCCACACGGUAAACGAUGAAUACUCGCUGUUUGCGAUAUACAGCAAGCGGCCAAGCGAAAGCGUUAAGUAUUCCACCUGGGGAGUACGCCGGCAACGGUGAAACUCAAAGGAAUUGACGGGGGCCCGCACAAGCGGAGGAACAUGUGGUUUAAUUCGAUGAUACGCGAGGAACCUUACCCGGGCUUAAAUUGCAGAUGAAUUACGGUGAAAGCCGUAAGCCGCAAGGCAUCUGUGAAGGUGCUGCAUGGUUGUCGUCAGCUCGUGCCGUGAGGUGUCGGCUUAAGUGCCAUAACGAGCGCAACCCUUGUUGUCAGUUACUAACAGGUUCCGCUGAGGACUCUGACAAGACUGCCAUCGUAAGAUGUGAGGAAGGUGGGGAUGACGUCAAAUCAGCACGGCCCUUACGUCCGGGGCUACACACGUGUUACAAUGGGGGGUACAGAGGGCCGCUACCACGCGAGUGGAUGCCAAUCCCAAAAACCUCUCUCAGUUCGGACUGGAGUCUGCAACCCGACUCCACGAAGCUGGAUUCGCUAGUAAUCGCGCAUCAGCCACGGCGCGGUGAAUACGUUCCCGGGCCUUGUACACACCGCCCGUCAAGCCAUGGGAGCCGGGGGUACCUGAAGUGCGUAACCGCGAGGAGCGCCCUAGGGUAAAACUGGA
RNAcentral lists this ribosomal RNA (1436 nucleotides) under uncultured bacterium. RNAcentral's name for it is "bacterial SSU rRNA". It matches the Rfam family "Bacterial small subunit ribosomal RNA". The record is from RNAcentral.